Long non-coding RNA from Felis catus (domestic cat), 2354 nucleotides. RefSeq lists it as uncharacterized. The transcript is spliced from 2 exons. The record is from RefSeq and is a predicted model, not a curated record. NCBI's taxonomy places the organism in Eukaryota, Metazoa, Chordata, Mammalia, Carnivora, Felidae.
CAGUUUCUACAUAGAUACAAAGUAGCACGACCUAAGCCCUAGGCCUUCUUGGCUGGUCUCCAAGGGAAAUCCUGCACCCAGGCCAGAGCAGUCAGGCCGUCUUUGCUGCCACUUUGGGCCUCCAAACGUCUUGCUUCUUAUAGUAACUGUCCCUGAGGAACCAAGAUGGGCAGUAUGUUUUCAUCAGAACAGCUUGUGCAGAGCCAUGGAUGAGAGUGUCGGCACAGAGACUGCCAUCAUCUGGUCUCUGCCAAAACAUUCCACUGACGGCAAGCUCAUGACAGAGCGGGGUAGUCCAUUUCUGUUGUUGGACGUUCAAUGUCUUCCCAAAUUCUUCCUCGCACUGAACAACGAGCCAUCUCCCGAGGACUUCCACAUUCCGGGCCUACCUCUGCCUUCAUCUCCCAGAUGUCUGCCUACCUACCAGAUGACUGGUAUUUAUCUAUCUAAAAACAAAGCUCUCGAUUUCUAAUUAUGGAGACUCUAAGUCAGGUCUGCCUUUUUCAAUGGGGAACAUCCAGAAGGCACAUUCUUAGACUGCUAACAAUUCAAAACUAUAGACACAGGGUAUGAACCAGAGGUUAAGAUUUGUUUUUUUAAGGACCUCAGAAUUUCUUGGGGAAUUAAAAAAAGAAAAGAAGAAAAGGAACACACAAGUCAUGGCUAAGACUCUGAUUUGGCAGCUCUGGGUAAGUACGUGGACAGCCAUAUAUUAAAAACAACAACAACAAGAAACAACUCCACAGUUGUUUCUGAUAUUCAGCCCAGGUAGGACUUGACAACCUAUGGCUUUGAGUCAGACAGUUUGAUGGCCCUUUACUGUCCCCCCUUACUGACCAUGUAACCGUGCGCAUGGCAAAUUAUUUACUAUCUCUGUGCCUACGGUAAUAAUCACAUCUAUAACAGUAGCAGCUGACAUCCACAGAAUGUGGCUCUGAGCCAGGCAUAAUGGAAGGCAUCGCGCAUUAUAACGCACGCGACCCUCACAACCACCCGCCUGGACACAGAAAGGGUACGUAACACACCCAAGGUCAUACAGCCAGUGCUGACUCAGAAGAGUCUGCGCCUGGGUCUGUGGGACCCUGCUAAGCCGACUCCCACCACAGUGCAAGUAGCACCUUGGAAGCCUGUUUUAAGGAUUUAGCACCCGGGCACAGGGAAAGAGUAUGGCUGAACUCCUUCUCUCUCUUGGGCCCCUUCCGGGCCCAGCCCCCUAGGGACAGCUGGGGAAAGACCGGCCCGCCCACUCACUUUGCCGCGGCACACAGAGCGCACACACUCCACCGGCUGCCCCGUCUCCAGCUGGAAGGCCCGGCAGCGCUUCAUCUCCUGGUCCCACAGUUUCACAGCACCGCCUUCUUUGGUCCUAAAAAGGAGUGAGAGGACCUUGGCAAGUUGGGCCUUGUCCUAAGACUUGCCCUUGAUGCUCCAUGUCCCCUGUCCCUAUCGUCAAGGCCACCGGGUCCCAGCAGGACAGACCCUCCAGGGUGGCUUCUUUUUUGGCCCUGCCGACGGGUAGUGACAACCAUUUCACUAGAAUACUUUCAAAAUGCCACUAUGGCAGAAGGAAAGAGGACUGCGAUCUCAAAUACCAAACCGUGUCUUGAUUAGAUCAAACACGAAGAGAAACGUUUCUCUGCUGCUCUGCUUCCUUCUUACAUCUCUGUCCCCAGGGGAACUUCUCUCCCCGCCUCUCCAUCCUCCCGUCCCCGAGACCUAGGGGGAAGUAACACUCGAUGAAGAGCAUAGUCACUCGAGUCUAUUCAAGAAUACCUCUCUGGAUUUUCCACUACCAUUAAACCACCUCCCUCCUUCUCUGACUUGUACUCUGAAGGUUUGUGCCCAGGGCCCUCUUGGAGAGACGGCAGACUCGUCUCCCUGAUGCAGGCAAGAUGGGGGAAAGAAAAUCUGCGUUUUCUCCCCGUGGGAGAUGCUUCUGUCAGUUCCUCCCAGCACAAUAAGAAAAGAUCAGUUGUUCCCAGAGGAGUUUCGCCUUACGGCCGCUCUUUGCCACCGGUCACUAUGAGUCCAUCCCGGAGGGUCGUGUACAUUGUGAAGACAGGGCCCGUGUGAGCCUUGGCCACCAGUCGGACGAGGAAGUGGUCCUUCCACACGUAGACGUCUCCGUUGAUGGCACCCGUGAAAGUGAGGUUGUUCUGUAAACAAAGGGACAUCUUCCACACUAGGACACUCACAGCACCUCUCAAGAGGGUCCCCUCCCAGCCACCUGCUCCUUGGUUAGGGAACUAGAACUAGAGAAAGAGAAACACACUCAAAUUGACCUUCUGUGCUAAGGAAAGGGAUAAAGGAAUAAAGGUUGCAAGUAAGCCAAUAAAGGUGAAAAUGUGGAAAUA